Long non-coding RNA from Hyaena hyaena (striped hyena), 158 nucleotides. RefSeq lists it as uncharacterized. NCBI's taxonomy places the organism in Eukaryota, Metazoa, Chordata, Mammalia, Carnivora, Hyaenidae. The record is from RefSeq and is a predicted model, not a curated record. The transcript has 3 exons.
AGUCUCUUAUGUUUUGCAUCCUCCUUGUUUUUAUAUAAUUUUUGUUUCCCUUCUCUUAUAUUCAUCAGUUUUGUAUGUUACAUUCCUCAUAUGAGUGAAGUCAUAUGAUAUUUGUCAUUCUCUGACUGAUUAAUUUCGCUUAGCAUGACAACGUCUAG